Molecule: long non-coding RNA, 1089 nt
Filed under: Anser brachyrhynchus (Pink-footed goose)
Lineage: Eukaryota; Metazoa; Chordata; Aves; Anseriformes; Anatidae
Description: lncRNA (ENSABRG00000017867.1)
Source: RNAcentral
AGAUUAACCUUUGUGAACGGGUUGUGGCUGUGCCGGACCGCUGUGCGUGUGUCCCUCAGCCUCCCUCCUCCUCCCCGGUACGGUGCACGCUGGAUCACCCAACACGCCUUUUAUUAUCCGGGCGCUACCGGUGAUUCAGCGCGCGGAGAGCUCGCCGGGGCCCGCGUCUCCGCAGCGGGCACCGUUCCGGCUGCAGCACGGCGCCGUGUGAGGCCCGGCCGGACGGUAACCGCGGGCCAGUGGUGGCGUGCGCACGGCUUUGGGACGCCACGCGUCCCCUCCUCUCGUCCUGGCGGCUGCGGCACAGCCGGACUUUGCCCCCCCACGGCCGGAGCUGCUCCCCGCGCGCCGUCCCCGCCCCGGCGCUGGCUGACUCACGGCGGGGCUCCCUCGCCUCCUGCCUCUCCGCGCCUGCCUCCGGUUAGGGCUGGAGCAGGCUUGCAGCGCUGCAGGGCGAGCUGCCGUCGCGCGGACAGCCCUGCCUGCCUUCCUCCUGCCCUGCCUGCCUUCCUCCUGCCCUGCCUGCCUUCCUCCUGCCCUUCCUCCUGCCCUGCCGGUCGCAGCGGUGCUCACCCGCGUGCGCCCAGGGACCGUUCGUGGUGCGCAGCCCGGUGCCAGCCCCGGCGGCGGCUCUCGGCCUGCGUGGGCAGCGUGCGGGGCGCCGAGCAGGGCUCCUGCUGCGCCUCGUGGUGCUGCCGCCCCGCAGGCCGAGCGCUGCGACGAGCCUCCCCCUCCUGCUCCUCUUCCCCUGCUUUUGCUCUGGGAAUUUUGCUUUGGGAAGCGAGGGGCCCGUGGCGAGGGGGGGCAGCCGAGAUGCGGGUACCGAGCCGGCUGCGGCAGCGGCACAGCCGCCCGCACGGCCGCCCUGCUGCACGCUGCCCUGACCCAGCUGCCUGCUGCCCUGCCCAGGGGCACGGGGGGCUCCUCCGCUCACAUUUCCGUGGCUUUGCUGCAGCUCUCCCGGGGCAGCUGCACACAGGACACCGGGGCGGGCACGCUCAGGGGUCCGUGCCGCAAGUGCAGCGCCUUCCUGCAGCCACCCAGAGCCUCGUCUGCUGCCGAGCGCUUGCUUGGCGCCGUGAUCUUUGA